Molecule: ribosomal RNA, 499 nt
Filed under: uncultured bacterium
Lineage: Bacteria
Description: partial 16S ribosomal RNA
Rfam family: Bacterial small subunit ribosomal RNA
Source: RNAcentral
GACGAACGCUGGCGGCGUGCUUAACACAUGCAAGUCGAACGGGCCCGCCCCUGUUUUUGGGGGUGGGUUGAGUGGCGAACGGGUGAGUAUCCCGUGAGUAACCUGCCCCCUGCUCCUGGCUAACUGCUUGAAAGGGCGGCUAAUACGGGGUGUGCCGGCUGGUCCGCAUGGGCCUGGUCGGGAUAGUUUCAUCUUCGGGUGUUUCGGUGGGGGAUGGGCGCGCGGCCUAUCAGCUUGUUGGUGGGGUGAUGGCCCACCAAGGCGGUGACGGGUAGCCGGCCUGAGAGGGUGGGCGGCCGCACGGGGACGGAGACACGGCCCAGACUCCUGCGGGAGGCAGCAGGGGGGGGUCUGGCACAAUGGGCGGAAGCCUGAUGCAGCGACGUCGCGUGAGGGAUGGAGGCCUUCGGGUUGGGAACCUCUUUCUCCGGUGGGGAAGGCCCUGUCCGUUGCGGCGGGGUUGACGGUAGCCGGGGAUGAAGCGCCGGCUAACUACGUG